This 303-nucleotide long non-coding RNA is filed under the name Rattus norvegicus (Norway rat). RNAcentral's name for it is "long non-coding RNA NONRATT031918". Lineage: Eukaryota; Metazoa; Chordata; Mammalia; Rodentia; Muridae. The record is from RNAcentral.
AGAAUAAUAGAAUUGUAUAGAAGAAUAGAAUAGAAUAGAAUAGAAUAGAAUAGAAUAGAAUAGAAUAGAAUAGAAUAGAAUAGAACAGAACAGAAUAGAACAGAAUAGGAGUAGAAUAGAGAAUAGAGAAUAGAAUAAGUAUGUGAAAAGAAGGACUCAUCUCUACAGUCAGUCUCAGAAAGACAGAACCCCAUGGCUUAUACUUUUAUGUCAAAUAUAGAGCCUUUCUUCUGCUAGUUGAAACUAAAGGUCAGUAUGCAAAGCUAGUUCCUAGUUGUAAAAUUCAUUAGUGUAUAAAAAAAU